GGUGGCUCAUUGGUAGAGUGCUUGCCUUGCAUGCAUGUGGUCCUGGGUUCGAUUCCUCAGCACCA
RNAcentral lists this transfer RNA (65 nucleotides) under Dipodomys ordii (Ord's kangaroo rat). It matches the Rfam family "tRNA". Rfam says of the family: Transfer RNA (tRNA) molecules are approximately 80 nucleotides in length. Their secondary structure includes four short double-helical elements and three loops (D, anti-codon, and T loops). Lineage: Eukaryota; Metazoa; Chordata; Mammalia; Rodentia; Heteromyidae. The record is from Rfam by way of RNAcentral.